Molecule: long non-coding RNA, 277 nt
Filed under: Olea europaea subsp. europaea
Lineage: Eukaryota; Viridiplantae; Streptophyta; Magnoliopsida; Lamiales; Oleaceae
Source: RNAcentral
GCGCUAUCUUACUAAACCUAUCGACCACUACAAAUAUUGAAUCCCGACCCCUUUUUGUCCUAGGCAAACCUAACACAAAGUCCAUAGAUAUGUCUACCCAAGGUUCACUAGGUAUAGGCAAAGGAGUAUACAAACCAUGGGGUUGAACCUUAGACUUAGCAUUUUUACAAGUUAUGCACUUUCCACAUAUUUGUUCUACGUCAUGUCGCAUUUUAGGCCAAUAAAAAUAUUCCCCUAACAUGUCUAAAGUCUUUUGAACCCCGAAGUGUCCCAUUAG